AACGAACGCUGGCGGCAUGCCUAACACAUGCAAGUCGAACGAGACCUUCGGGUCUAGUGGCGCACGGGUGCGUAACGCGUGGGAACCUGCCCUUAGGUUCGGAAUAACUCCCCGAAAGGGGUGCUAAUACCGGAUAAUGUCUUCGGAUCAAAGAUUUAUCGCCUUUGGAUGGGCCCGCGUUGGAUUAGCUAGUUGGUAGGGUAAAAGCCUACCAAGGCGACGAUCCAUAGCUGGUCUGAGAGGAUGAUCAGCCACACUGGGACUGAGACACGGCCCAGACUCCUACGGGAAGCAGCAGUGGGGAAUAUUGGACAAUGGGCGAAAGCCUGAUCCAGCAAUGCCGCGUGAGUGAUGAAGGCCUUAGGGUUGUAAAGCUCUUUUACCCGGGAUGAUAAUGACAGUACCGGGAGAAUAAGCUCCGGCUAACUCCGUG
This 433-nucleotide ribosomal RNA is filed under the name uncultured bacterium. RNAcentral describes it as "partial 16S ribosomal RNA". It matches the Rfam family "Bacterial small subunit ribosomal RNA", at positions 29 to 507 of the family's 1533-position model. The record is from RNAcentral.